GAGAAUGGAGCCACAGUCAGUGUGGGGAGGGGACUGUGGCGAGGGGCAGCUGGGUGGCUGGAGGAUGUGCUGAAAAGGCUUCUGUGGUGGAAACAGCUCAGCUGGGUCUCUAGACGACAAGAAUCUACCCAGAGCAGAUGUAGGGAGGCAUUUCCCUAGGGGAGAAGAAACAGAUCCCAUCUGAGCGUCUGCCGUGGGUGUGAAUCGGGUGAGGAGAGCUGGGCCUGGUAAGCUGAGACUGGAAGAGGAAGAGAUGAGAGAAGUCUGAGCCUCACUUUGUUGGCAUUACUGGCCUCCAGCUCAUUUUCAGAUGUCACACGGCCCCUGGCCUUCACUGUGCCCUGAGAUGUGGGGCAGACGCCUCCAUCUUUCAGAGAAGGAUAAAGUAAGAGGAAGUUUCUGACUCCUGACUUCAGGAUGGAGGAGCUCCGAGGUUCUCCAGGAUUCUGAACCAUCUGGCAUGAAGAGACGCGCUGGAGGAGCGAGGCUGACGACUUUGGCCACCUGGCCUCCAAAUGACCUUGAACUACUGGGUCACAGCCUCAGCUGGCAGAUCUUGCCAUUGGCACCUCUAAGACACAAAAAGCAGCCUCCCUGAGGCUCCUGGGGGCUGCAGAGACCCCCGUGGCACCAGAAGCCAACACUUCCAGGCGGGGCACCUGGGUCUCUCCAAGGCCCCUUGGACAGAGAGGAGAGAUGAGUAACCACAGGCAGGGGUGGGGAGCAGGGCUGGGGAGCCCAGCAUGUGACCCACAGCAUGACUACACGGACGCUGUUUUGGGACAUUCCAGAAGCACCCACAGGGAGCAUGCCCAGCCCCUGCUGAAACCCUUCGUCCUCCUCCCACGUUUUGUAGUAACAGAGCUUUCCCUCUCCUCCGAAUCCUGCAGUCAUACAGCAUUCAGGGUCUGGAGCAAAAUCUCCACCCCAACUUCAAACAUGAUCCCCAAAAGGAGACAGGGUGACCACCAGCCUUCAGGGACGGGAUUACCUGGCCAACAUGUAGACACAUAGCCCUACAUCUCCACAGGCGACACCAAGCAAACGAGGACUCGGGCUGAAACAGGAGAGGUUGCAAGAGGCAGAAGAAAGAACUUGCUUUUUUAGAAAAAUAUACAUUUAACUUAUUUGUUUCCAACUAUACAAUGAUUUAAAGACAAACAGAAUAUUCCAAGUAGAGAAGAACAUUUUAAAAUUGCUUAGCUUGUGCAUGCAUUAAUUUGGG
RNAcentral lists this long non-coding RNA (1225 nucleotides) under Heterocephalus glaber (naked mole-rat). Its description in RNAcentral is "lncRNA (ENSHGLG00100043893.1)". Lineage: Eukaryota; Metazoa; Chordata; Mammalia; Rodentia; Bathyergidae. The record is from RNAcentral.